AUGAGAAAAAAUUCAUCGUUUUCGUAAUGAUAACUCUUUUUCAUUUCAUUUUAUCUAACUAUUUCAUGUAAUAAUAAUAGCAUAUCACAGUAACCUUGUAUUAAAAUUUCUUAAAAUUCUCCACAAUAAGAAUUUGAUAAGAAAUUAUACAUUAUUAUUAUUAUCAUUAUAUUCUCAUAUUGGCAAAUUUUAAGAACCUAAAAGAAAAGAAUAGUACAUUUUGUUUCCAUUAUCUACACUACAAUUUAUGUUUCGGUAAAAUAAAUGGAACAAACUUUUUAGAUUCGUUUUGAGAUGCACAACAAGGUAAUUAUAUAAAAUUAACUCUUUGUUAAUAUUAAACUUCGAUAUGUUUAAAAUGAUGAUGUUAUCUUAUAUUUUAUUCAGAUAGGUUGUGCGCUAAGAGAAAAUCGAAGGGUGUCUUCGACAUCUCGUCGGAACGCGACUUUCUUCGACAGAGCAAACACAUUUCCGGCAUGUUCGAUAACGAAAAAGUAAAAGAGGGUUGAUGCGAGGGAGGAAUAGUGUAUGCAGAUGCGAGCCUAUAUCAAAAGUUCGCUUUCGUUGGGGUCCACGAAAAAGGAGACGAUGACAUGGCUGUGUCACGUAGACAUCACCGUGUAUUCGCAGAGCCACGAGAAGAAAAGCUGCGGAUAUUCCACGAAGAGAAAUAUACGCAGGAGGAAUAUACGUGCUCGCAAUUUUGUUCGCAGUUCGUUUUACAUAUUGUAUCAUCCGACUUGUUGCUACAGAGAGGCUGAAAUGGCAGGAAAAAGAACGAAGGAUCGCUGGUACAAGAUAGAGAGAAAGAGAGGGAGAGAGACACCAGAAAGGGGAGAAAGUGAGAAGGAAUAAGAUAACAGAAGACCUCGAAAUUCAUGACGGUUCGUGAUCCUUCAGCGGACUUUAGCAUAAUUAGAGCUUUGUUUAUUAUCGUCAGGCGAGCCGCGCAUUGUAUAAAAGCUCUCAAACUAACGCGAAUUAAUCUUUGCUAAGUGGAACCGAUGGAACCGACAUCCUCGUUUCUCUACCCUCACGCUAUUCUGUGAAGAUCUAGGAUGAUAGGAAGCCGCCACACCAUUGUGCCCAACUUGUACGACUCGAUAGACAAUGCGACUUUGUCGGAUUCCCGUAGCUGCCGUUCACGCUGCGUGCUCUCAGAUCCUCCCACGAAAUCCCUGGUUCUCCAUAAGCGCUAAUCCACGACGAAGGAAAUAUAUCCUGCAAACGCUAUCGCAACGAAGCGUUAGAAGUUCCAGGAUCAGUGAAAGCACAUCAUCAAUAGAUAUUGCUCCAUGGUUUAACGAGGGCAUCUAUAGUCAGUUCUCCAUCUGCUUUUCUUAAAAUAUCUCGUGAUUGGAGAGAACGGCGAUUAUUUCAAGUUCGCGAAAACUCAAUAUCGCGCGGAUACGUGCGAUUAAACGAAGCACAGAAACGUGUUGUACGUACGGACAUGAAAAAUACACAAACGUUUACAUCAGUAUCCGUUCCGUGGUAUGAUAAUGGAUGGUCACGCCUACCGCAUUAAUCCGACUAAAAACAAUUAGCUUGAUUGAUGGCUGCCCACGUUUCUCCUAUAGGGAUUAUUCGAGCAGCGCGAUUUUCCUCAUUAUAUUUAAAAUUGGCCGUCACGAAGAGGUUGUACAACGAGUUCAGCGCUAUCGCUAUAGUUUUUUGCCCACGAAAAGGAAAGAAACGUCGAGCGAUCACGAUAAAUCCGGAAUGUACGAGGGUGGCUCAAAUAUAAACCGGAAUGUCGUUACUGCGCACGUACACUUCAACAUAGAUUCAAUCAGCAGCACCGGUAGUUGAAGGGAAGUAACUGCAACGGUUGUAUGUCGUAUGCAUGCGCCGAAUGGUGUUUGGUCGGUGCUGAUCGAGAUGAGUGAGAUUCAUGUGUCUCUUGCGUAGAAAAUCUUUGUUACAACCACAAGCAGACAAGAAUCAUCAAUUAUGUAACUUUUCUUUUUCUUCUCUUUUAGAAGCGAUAUUGUAGCAGUCAGCAAAGUUAUCUAAAGCACCAGAUAUGAGGAAUCUGAUGUAUAUGUAUGCACGGUUCAAAAGACAUAGAUUUCAAGUUAUGUCAAAUAAAUAAGAUCAAAUUAUUGUUGAUCAAACUCCCUCUCCAGCAAAGUAUAAUCGCACAUUUUCUUUGACAAGUACGUGCUCGCUGUACGUUACUGCAUAGGAACACGAACCGAUUAAACUUCAAAUUGCGAUGGUUGGAUCAACUUGGUCAUCCUACUAGAUACAUCGUGGAACAUGAUACAUCUGCGCGCCGAACAAUCUAGUUUGACACUUCACUAGACAGUUAUCUGUCACUUGCACGUUUUUCCGAGCAGCUGUCGCUUGCUCGGAAGUUAAUUGAGUGAGUUCCGGUUGGUUAUUUCUGAAGCAAAAUUCAUGUGUCAAUAUGUCAAUUGAUUAGAAAUGAGAACACGAACAAUACGUUUUACAUUAAUGCAGCUUAUUCCGCAGGCAAAAUUAGUUUUUUUGUUUCGUCAGUUAAUUGUUGAUUUUACAUUACGAAAAUUCGAUUUUAUAAACGUUAGAGAAUACUUUAGGAAUCUAUUCUUUAACAAAUUUAAAAACAGAAUAACCAGAAGAGUCAAAAAUAAUACUGACAGAUACUUGCACACUUAUUUUGCUAACUUUUCACGUAGCAUUAUUAGAUGUAAAAUGUUUUUACAACAGCUUAUUAAUUUCGACUCGAAUCAGAUUGGAAGAAAUUACUCGUUUUAAAGGAAAUUUCGUUUCAUUGCUCACUGUCACAUUCCGUGCUCACUGCUCGGAUGGUUUCCUCCUAUUUUCUUUCUACCCAGUACCCGUUGUAAUUCAAACGUGAAUAUUGAUGUGACAGGACGAACAAAGGAUCUAUCAGUUUUACCUUACGAUCCUUUUUAAUUUCCGCCUUUUCUGUGACGCCGCAGUAACGAACGACGCAGCGAAAACUGCGGUGAACAAAAUGAGUUUUCGAAAAAAUCUGUGCAAGUUCAAAUACAGUGGUUUAAAUACAGACCGUAACAUUUCAAUCUCAGUAAAAUAUGAAAAGUUCAAUCAUUCUCAAA
Molecule: unclassified non-coding RNA, 3068 nt
Filed under: Ooceraea biroi (clonal raider ant)
Lineage: Eukaryota; Metazoa; Arthropoda; Insecta; Hymenoptera; Formicidae
Description: uncharacterized LOC109611417, transcript variant X7
Source: RNAcentral